RNAcentral lists this ribosomal RNA (492 nucleotides) under uncultured bacterium. Its description in RNAcentral is "partial 16S ribosomal RNA". It matches the Rfam family "Bacterial small subunit ribosomal RNA", at positions 29 to 507 of the family's 1533-position model. The record is from RNAcentral.
AGUGAACGCUGGCGGUAGGCCUAACACAUGCAAGUCGAACGGCAGCACAGUAAGAGCUUGCUCUUACGGGUGGCGAGUGGCGGACGGGUGAGGAAUACAUCGGAAUCUACUUUUUCGUGGGGGAUAACGUAGGGACACUUACGCUAAUACCGCAUACGACCUACGGGUGAAAGCAGGGGAUCUUCGGACCUUGCGCGAUUGAAUGAGCCGAUGUCGGAUUAGCUAGUUGGCGGGGUAAAGGCCCACCAAGGCGACGAUCCGUAGCUGGUCUGAGAGGAUGAUCAGCCACACUGGAACUGAGACACGGUCCAGACUCCUACGGGAGGCAGCAGUGGGGAAUAUUGGACAAUGGGCGCAAGCCUGAUCCAGCCAUACCGCGUGGGUGAAGAAGGCCUUCGGGUUGUAAAGCCCUUUUGCUGGGAAAGAAAAGCAGCAGGUUAAUACCCCGCUGUUCUGACGGUACCCAAAGAAUAAGCACCGGCUAACUUCGUG